Molecule: transfer RNA, 72 nt
Filed under: Camelus ferus (Wild Bactrian camel)
Lineage: Eukaryota; Metazoa; Chordata; Mammalia; Artiodactyla; Camelidae
Rfam family: tRNA
About the family: Transfer RNA (tRNA) molecules are approximately 80 nucleotides in length. Their secondary structure includes four short double-helical elements and three loops (D, anti-codon, and T loops).
Source: Rfam by way of RNAcentral
GAGGGCGUAGCUCAGUGGUAGAGCGCAUGCUUCACAUGCGUGAGGUCCUGGGUUUAAUCCCCAAAACCUCCA